AUAAAUAAAGUUUUAAAAGACAGUAAUAUAAAAUCACUUUUCAGAAUUGGAGAAAAACUGAGUUUUAAGCAGGAUCUUGGUGAAAUUUCAGAACAUACACCAAGGAACAAACACUAGACUCAGCAAAAGCAAAGCUCUAAGAAACUCAGUGACUCUCUAAAUAAAAUACAAAAUAGGGCUGGGGAUGUGGUUCAGUGUUACAGUAUCCCAAAGUUCAGUUCCCGAUACUACUACUACUACCAAUAAUAAUAAUAAUUAUUCACAGAUAACUUGAGGUGGAAAAUAGACCAUACACAAAGAAAUGAGAACCAAAUUGACCAUAAGCUUUUCUAACAUUAACAGCAUUAGAUAUAAGAAGGCAGUGGAGUACAUCUUCAGAGUUAUGUGAGAAUAAUCAAAGUGUGAAAUAUGAUAUAUCAAGAACUAUGUAAUGUUUUGAACAACCAACAAUAAAAAUUAAAAAAAAGAGUUAUGUGAGAAUUUACAUUUUGCUUUGAAUUGUACCGGCUGAUUUAUCAUUUAAGUGUAAUGUCAGAAUGUAAAAGCAUUUUCAGAUGUACAGAUACAUACAGAAAAUUAACGAGCAAGAGAUCCUUUCUGCUUGUAUUAUUAAAUAUUACACUCUAUCCAGGAAGCAGAAGCAGAAUAAUAAAUACAAGAAAUAGGGUUCAAGACCAUUGGUUAGCAAUGAAAACAAAAACAUGCUAAUUCUGAAUAAGGGUCUGUUGUUUAUGAAAGAAAUUCAGAAAAGAUCAGAACAUGAGAAGGGGAUAGAACAGAGAACAGAAAUGAUUUUAGAAAAAUGAAUGUAUGUGUUUGAAAACUUCCAGUGACUGAUCACUGGAAGAUUAGCAUGUAUAAUGUCCACACAUUUAAAUAGAUAACAUAUAUAUAAAAAAAUCAGUACAACAAAGGCAAAAAAGUGAGGUUAAGAAGA
Molecule: long non-coding RNA, 937 nt
Filed under: Marmota monax (woodchuck)
Lineage: Eukaryota; Metazoa; Chordata; Mammalia; Rodentia; Sciuridae
Source: RNAcentral